Molecule: ribosomal RNA, 520 nt
Filed under: uncultured Actinomycetes bacterium
Lineage: Bacteria; Bacillati; Actinomycetota; Actinomycetes
Description: bacterial SSU rRNA
Rfam family: Bacterial small subunit ribosomal RNA
Source: RNAcentral
CCUACGGGAGGCAGCAGUGGGGAAUCUUGCGCAAUGGGCGAAAGCCUGACGCAGCAACGCCGCGUGCGGGAAGAAGGCUUUCGGGCUGUAAACCGCUUUCAGCAGGAACGAAAAUGACGGUACCUGCAGAAGAAGGAGCGGCCAACUAUGUGCCAGCAGCCGCGGUGAUACAUAGGCUUCCAGCGUUGUCCGGAUUUAUUGGGCGUAAAGANUUNGUAGGCGGUCGAGUAAGUCGGGUGUGAAAAUUCUGGGCUCAACCCAGAGACGCCCCCCGAUACUGCUUAACUUGAGUUCGAUAGGGGAGUGGGGAAUUCCUAGUGUAGCGGUGAAAUGCGCAGAUAUUAGGAGGAACCCCNGUGGCGAAGGCCCCACUUUGGAUCGACACUGACGCUGAGGAACGAAAGCAUGGGUAGCAAACAGGAUUAGAUACCCUGGUAGUUCCAUCCGGUAAAACGGUGGGCAACUAGGUGUGGGUUUCUAUUAACGAAAUCCGCGCCGUCGCUAACGCAUUAAGUGCCCC